GGAGUACUCCCUACGUUCCAAAAUACUUGACUUACAUUUGUCCAAAAAUGGAUAUACCUAUAUACUAAAACAUGUCUAGAUACAUCUAUAUUUUGACAAAUGAAAGGCAUGUAUUAUGGAACGGAGGGCGUACAUA
This is a non-coding RNA of Triticum aestivum (bread wheat), 136 nucleotides long. The record is from Rfam. NCBI's taxonomy places the organism in Eukaryota, Viridiplantae, Streptophyta, Magnoliopsida, Poales, Poaceae.